AGUGAACGCUGGCGGUAGGCCUAACACAUGCAAGUCGAACGGCAGCACAGUAAGAGCUUGCUCUUACGGGUGGCGAGUGGCGGACGGGUGAGGAAUACAUCGGAAUCUACUUUUUCGUGGGGGAUAACGUAGGGAAACUUACGCUAAUACCGCAUACGACCUACGGGUGAAAGCAGGGGAUCUUCGGACCUUGCGCGAUUGAAUGAGCCGAUGUCGGAUUAGCUAGUUGGCGGGGUAAAGGCCCACCAAGGCGACGAUCCGUAGCUGGUCUGAGAGGAUGAUCAGCCACACUGGAACUGAGACACGGUCCAGACCCCUACGGGAGGCAGCAGUGGGGAAUAUUUGACAAUGGGCGCAAGCCUGAUCCAGCCAUACCGGGUGGGUGAAGAAGGCCUUCGGGUUGUAAAGCCCUUUUGUUGGGAAAGAAAAGCAGCAGGUUAAUACCCCGCUGUUCUGACGGUACCCAAAGAAUAAGCCCCGGCUAACUUCGUG
This 492-nucleotide ribosomal RNA is filed under the name uncultured bacterium. Its description in RNAcentral is "partial 16S ribosomal RNA". It matches the Rfam family "Bacterial small subunit ribosomal RNA", at positions 29 to 507 of the family's 1533-position model. The record is from RNAcentral.